CGACUAAAUCUUCACAGACAACAUCAGUGUAGAUCCAGAGUCAAUAGACAUCACAUCAACAUAAUCCAUUAUUAUUUGUUCUACUCUUCGAGUUCACCCGAAUUCUCUUUUAAUCAUCAUCAUGUACAAGUUAUUGUUAUUGAUUGUCGCCGUCUUCGCUUUGGUCGCCGCCAUUUCUGCUCAAAGCAUUUACACCUACCCAAUUACUUAUGCACCGUAUUACUCGUACCCAUCAUACGGCUACACUUAUCCAGUGACAUACAAUCCAUACAUCACUCUCCUUCGUCGGUAGAGAGACAUCAUUCAGAUCCAAACACGUCAUACUAUGAAGAAACUACUGGGAAUAAUCAGCUAUUGUCCAGUGUCAUUUCACGAAGAUACAAUAUAAAUUAUGAUAAAAUGUAAUUACUCAAUACAUAUUUUUAUUUAUAUCAUUAACAAUUAAUUUUUUUCAUUAAGUUAUUUCUGCUGUGUAAAACAUUUACCUAUUUAUUCAUAAUAAAAUACAAUAUUAUGUAACA
Long non-coding RNA from Rhopalosiphum maidis (corn leaf aphid), 521 nucleotides. RefSeq lists it as uncharacterized. NCBI's taxonomy places the organism in Eukaryota, Metazoa, Arthropoda, Insecta, Hemiptera, Aphididae. The record is from RefSeq and is a predicted model, not a curated record. The transcript is spliced from 3 exons.